RNAcentral lists this transfer RNA (68 nucleotides) under Neomys fodiens (Eurasian water shrew). RNAcentral describes it as "tRNA-Phe". It matches the Rfam family "tRNA". Rfam says of the family: Transfer RNA (tRNA) molecules are approximately 80 nucleotides in length. Their secondary structure includes four short double-helical elements and three loops (D, anti-codon, and T loops). Lineage: Eukaryota; Metazoa; Chordata; Mammalia; Eulipotyphla; Soricidae. The record is from RNAcentral.
GUUCAUGUAGCUUAAUAUAAAGCAAAGCACUGAAAAUGCUUAGAUGAGCUCUCAGAGCUCCAUAAACA